RNAcentral lists this transfer RNA (77 nucleotides) under marine sediment metagenome. RNAcentral describes it as "tRNA-Met". It matches the Rfam family "tRNA". From Rfam's summary of the family: Transfer RNA (tRNA) molecules are approximately 80 nucleotides in length. The record is from RNAcentral.
UGCGGAGUGGGAUAGAGGUCUAGUCCGCUUGGCUCAUAACCAAGAGACCGCUGGUUCGAAUCCAGCCUCCGCUACCA